GGUACUCUAACACAGCGAGUUCUCAGUGUUGUCUCUAUCUCUCUUCGAAGCAAUCAGAUUAUCCUAAAAUUGUCACAGACUACGGGAAGCUCCAAGGAAAAACCUCAACGUCGAGAAAUGGCAGAAAAUUUUUAAGUUUUUCUGGGAUUCCAUAUGCUGAGGCACCUGUUGGUCCUCUAAGAUUUAAGGUGAGAUGAAACUGAAAGGUGAAAAUGUUAGUAUUUAGUUCCAAUUUUUCCAGGUAAGUAAUCUGACAACUUCAAUAACAGAGAAAAUUCGAAUAGAAGGUUGCAGAUGAUACCCAAUGUCCCGAAGUGUGGCUUUAGAGAGGCUGAUCAAGGAGUGCAAGGAUUUUGCUGUUUUAAGAUCUAAACAAAUUUUUGUGGAAAAUUUGAGAGAAGUAUAAAAUUUUUGCCUUGCAAAUCAACGCAAGUGGCCGGUGUUAUUGAACUUUCAAUAUCCAUGGAAAGAAGAAAUAGGUAAUAAGUGUAGGAAAGUCAGCAAUAAUACUUGCUUAAAGUAUUUAUUAUAAAUUUUGAAUUUGCGUCAGUAAGUUCCUCAGUAAGUUAACAGUUCAAGAAAAGGAGAAGAGACUUUCAGACCUCAGCAUUCAUUACUGUAGUUUAUCAUUCAAGUAAUUGGUGUUUUAACUUUCCUAAAUCAAACCUUUUCAUAAUUUCUUUCUUAUUUAACCAAUUCCUCUCAUUUUCUUCCUGGAAGUCUUGUUUUUAUUUCAUACCAGUUUCUUUAAAAGUUUUCAUUUUUCUCAGAUGUCAUUUUUUUGUUAUAUUUAGCCACCUGUUCCAAGCAAAGGCUGGGGAGGGACGAGAGAUGCUGCAAAGGAAGGAAACGUUGCUGUCCAGGCUAGUCUAUCGUCCAAGAAAAUUUUUGGAGAUGAAGACUGUCUUUUUGCAAACAUUUAUACCCCAGAGUGUGAUGGGCCACUGAAACCUGUCCUUGUUUGGAUUCACGAAGGUGCAUUUGCAGUUGGAUCCGGCAGUGCUUUACUUUAUGGCGCUCAUUUUUUCAUGGACCAUGACAUAGUUUUAGUAACAUUCAACUAUCGACUUGGUGUUUUAGGCAAGUCUCUAAUUUUAGUAAAAGUUAAGUAAUUUAAAGAGCUUUCCCCUUUUAAUUUCUGAUGUUCAUAGUUCUAUUUGUAGGCAAUCAUAGAUAUCAAAAAAUUAACUUCAAUAUUACAAGAAUACUUGCAUACUCACACUCAACAAUAUUGUUGCUCUGAAGCGCAGUGAUUUUUUUAUCUUUCUGGACUAGAAGAAUACAAGUUGCAUGUGAUGAUAUCAUUCCUGCCAACCGUAGUGAGCACAGUAGUUAAGUGGCUCAAUUUGGUAAAACAGCUGUGAUUCACAAAUCAUGUGUCAAUGCUCAAAAAUUACAGAUCAGACAUAGAUAUGAACAAUGCUAAGUCCUACACACAGCCAUUGUUAACGGAGACAUGGCAUUUUGAAAGAGAUGGUGUGUUUUCUCAUCCACUGCAAUAAUGGUCUCUUUUUUCUUGUAUGCACCUCUGAUUGAUGAACUGAGCAAUGAUUAUGGAAAACACUCAUCAAAGUAAAAAUAGAACCAAAUCAUGGAAACCACUUCUGCUGUGCGCAAAGUUACUCAUUGGUUUUUCCAGGAAGCAUUAUCAUUGUUGAUAUUGAAUGUAGAAACUUGGUGUUUGAACAGAUUAUAUUAUUUUUGCUAGGUAAAAAAUAGUCCCUGAUCAUCAAAACACGAAUCUGUAUGCAUCGCAACUGAUAUCUUAUCAUUUUAAACCUGAUGCAAUAGCAACUGUUACUAUGGUGAACUCUCUUCCUAGUUUUUCUGAGAGAGAGAUUGAAAAGCAAAACAUUUUGUCCAUGAAAAUAUUGAUUUAAAACAAUGUUUUUUACUGGUGAAUCAAAAUUUAUUGAUAGUGUUGUUCUUGUUCAGAAAAGAUUGUGGUAUAUCUAUUGGAACUGUCAUGAUGAAAAUAAGUAGGGUUGUCAGAGUUUUGUUUCUUACCUAUGUACUUCCGGGCCUCUUUUCUAACACAAUUUCAUCUUGAAAAUAUCUAUAGGAACUGUCAUGAUGAAAACAGGUAGGUUUGUUAGAGUUUUGGUUCUUACCAAUAUUUUCUCCCGGGCCUCUUUUCUAACACAUUUUCAUCCUGAAAAUAACCACAAAUUCUAGUCAACUCAGUUGCUAAAUCUGAUUGUUGAGUGCUCAAUACCAACAUUUUAUCUUCUUGCAGGGUAAAAAUUUCUGAGCAUUUUCUAUCCAGAAAAUAUUAUAAAGAAAUGCUUUAAUAUGAAAAUUGUUAUUUGGUCUCCUACGAGGGUUUAGCCCUGAACUGCAAAAUUGACUGUUUUUCCCAGAAAUUAUUUCACAAAAUGCUCUAAGAAGAUUUUACUGCACUAAGUAUCCGUUUUUCCUACUCCACAAAUUAUACUUACUACUUUCAACAUUAGUUU
This 2456-nucleotide long non-coding RNA is filed under the name Bemisia tabaci. RNAcentral's name for it is "lncRNA ENSSWEETPG003480". The record is from RNAcentral. Lineage: Eukaryota; Metazoa; Arthropoda; Insecta; Hemiptera; Aleyrodidae.